UGUUUCCACAUGUUCCCGUUCAGAGAGGCUUCUGUGUCAUCCUGUGAUGAGUCAGUUGUGCAGCCCCGUAGAUCUGUGUCAGGUCUUCUUCCUGAAUGUGUUUUACUUUUUCUACUGGUGGCAGCAAGACUGGAACUGCCUUUGAAGUGUAAGAACUACAGGAGAAGUCAGGACUCGUUCUUGGUAUUUACUGUGCAUUCCUGGAGGCAAUUUCAAGCCAAACGACACAAGGCUCAGAUCAGCCAGGGACCUCCACGCAGGAAGGGCUGCAGCUUACGCUGGGCUCCCCCCUGUUCACAUUAGCAAAACUUAUUUUGUGCCUCAGGAAUAUGAUACUAAGUCAAACAUCCUACAGUAAGAAACCAUUGACA
Molecule: long non-coding RNA, 371 nt
Filed under: Athene cunicularia (burrowing owl)
Lineage: Eukaryota; Metazoa; Chordata; Aves; Strigiformes; Strigidae
Description: lncRNA (ENSACUG00000004007.1)
Source: RNAcentral